ACUCACUGGUGCCUGCCUCCUGUCAAUGUCUGGGGCUGGUGUUGGGAAGCAUCACUGAUAUCUAUAUGGCUGUGGUAAUUUCAAAUGUGAUUAGUGAGGGCAGGGUUUGCCUAGAGUCUCCCAGUGAGGGGUGAGGGCAUAUGCUCAGAAGUAAAGCAUUUCUAAAAUUCUCCCAAUAAAGGGUUGGAAGCUAAGCUAAUUGUAGAGUGCCUGUCCCAGAAUCCUCUAGUGAGGAUCUGGGGUAUGACUCAAGGCAAGGUGCUUGAUUGCCCAGAAUCCUCCAGUGAGGGGCUGGGGGUGUGGCUUAGUGGUAGAGCAUCUGCCUAGAAUCCUCCAGGAAGGGGCUGAGGAUGUGGCUCAGUGGUAGAGCCCCUGCCUAGAAUCCCCCCAGUGAGAGGUUGGGGGUGUGGCUCAGUGGUAGAGCCCCCGCCUAGAAUCCCCAGUGAGGGGCUGGGGGCGUGGCUCAGCUAUAGAGCACCUGCCUAGAAUUCCCCAGUGAGGGGCUGGGGGCGUGGCUCAGCUGUAGAGCACCUAGCCAGUAUGCACCACACUUGGCUUCCAUUUCUAGCACUGCAAAUAGAGGAAUAAAUAGACAUGAGGAGAAUAGUUCUGCCUCCACAAACAGCACUGUCUCUUCCUAGAUGCCCCCAGCAUCACUUGCCCAAAGCAGUACAAGCGGUCAGGCACCUUGCAGAGCAACUUUUGCUCCAGUAGCCUGGUGGUGACAGGAACAGUGAAGGCCAUGGUCCGGGGCCCAGGGGAGGGCCUCACUGUCACCGUCAG
Molecule: long non-coding RNA, 783 nt
Filed under: Rattus norvegicus (Norway rat)
Lineage: Eukaryota; Metazoa; Chordata; Mammalia; Rodentia; Muridae
Description: long non-coding RNA NONRATT007370
Source: RNAcentral